This 4667-nucleotide small RNA is filed under the name Arabidopsis thaliana (thale cress). RNAcentral describes it as "ATSL204440". Lineage: Eukaryota; Viridiplantae; Streptophyta; Magnoliopsida; Brassicales; Brassicaceae. The record is from RNAcentral.
GGCUUCUCAAAGCUUUGAUGGUUUGGCCAAAGUCCAUAUGAGUUCUUAUCUUUGUAUCUUCUAACAAUGAAACACUACUUAGGCCUUUAGGAUAAGGUUGCGGUAUAAGUUCUUAUACUCAAUCAUACACAUGACAUCAAGUCAUAUUCGACUCCAAAACACUAACCAAGCUUCUUCUUGCUUCUCAAAGCUUUGAUGGUUUAGCCGAAGUCCAUAUGAGUCUUUGUAUUUGUAUCUUCUAACAAGGAAACACUACUUAGGCUUUUAGGAUAAGAUUGUGGUUUAAGUUCUUAUACUCAAUCAUACACAUGACAUCAAGUCAUAGUCGACUCCAAAACAAUAACCAAGCUUCUUCUUGCUUCUCAAAGCUUUGAUGGUUUAGCCGAAGUCCAUAUGAGUCUUUGUGUUUGUAUCUUCUAACAAGAAAACACAACUUAGGCUUUUAGGAUAUGGUUGCGGUUUAAGUUCUUAUACUCAAUCAUACACAUGACAUCAUGUCAUAUUCGACUCCAAAACACUAAUCAAGCUUCUUCUUGCUUCUCAAACCUUUGAUGGUUUAGCCGAAGUCCUUAUGAGUCUUUGUGUUUGUAUCUUCUAACAAGGAAACACUACUUAGGCUUUUAGGAUAAGAUUGCGGUUUAAGUUCUUAUACUCAAUCAUACACAUGACAUCAAGUUAUAUUCGACUCCAAAACACUAACCAAGCUUCUUCUUGCUUCUCAAAGCUUUGAUGGUUAAGCCAAAUUCCAAAUGAGUCUUUAGUUUUGUAUCUUCUAACAAGGAAACACUACUUAGGCUUUUAGGAUAAGGUUGCGGUUUAAGUUCUUAUACUCAAUCAUACACAUGACAUCAACUCAUAUUCGACUCCAAAACAAUAAUCAAGCUUCUUCUUGCUUCUAAAAGCUUUGAUGGUUUAGCCAAAGUCCAUAUGAGUCUUUGUCUUUGUAUCUUCUAACAAGGAAAUACUACAUAGGCUUUUAGGAUAAGGUUGCGGUUUAAGUUCUUAUACUCAAUCAUACAUAUGACAUCAAGUCAUAUUCGACUCCAAACCACUAACCAAGCUUCUUCUUGCUUCUCAAAGCUUUGAUGGUUUAGCCGAAGUCCAUAUGAGUCUUUGUCUUUGUAUCUUCUAACAAGGAAACACUACUUAGGCUUUUAGGAUAAGAUUGCGGUUUAAGUUCUUAUACUCAAUCAUACACAUGACAUCAAGUUAUAUUCGACUCCAAAACACUAACCAAGCUUCUUCUUGCUUCUCAAAGCUUUGAUGGUUUACCAAAAGUCCAUAUGACUCUUUAUCUUUGUAUCUUCUAACAAGGAAACACUACUGAGGCCUUUAGGAUAAGGUUGAGGUUCAAGUUCUUAUACUCAAUCAUACACAUGACAUACAGUCAUAUUCGACUCCAAAACAAUAACCAAGCCUCUUCUUGCUUCUAAAAGCUUUGAUGGUUUAGCCAAAGUCCAUAUGAGUCUUUGUCUUUGUAUCUUCUAACAAGGAAACAUUACUUACGCUUUUAGGAUAAUGUUGCGGUUUAAGUUCUUAUACUCAAUCAUACACAUGACAUCAAGUCAUAUUCGACUCCAAAACACUAACCAAGCUUCUUCUUGCUUCUCAAAGCUUUGAUGGUUUAGCCGAAGUCCAUAUGAGUCUUUGUCUUUGUAUCUUCUAACAAGGAAACACUACUUAGGCUUUUAGGAUAAGAUUGCAGUUUAAGUUCUUUUACUCAAUCAUACACAUGACAUCAAGUUAUAUUCGACUCCAAAACACUAACCAAGCUUCUUCUUGCUUCUCAAAGCUUUGAUGGUUUGCCAAAACUCCAUAUGACUCUUUAUCUUUGUAUCUUCUAACAAGGAAACACUACUUAGGCCUUUAGGAUAAGGUUGAGGUUUACGUUCUUAUACUCAAUCAUACACAUGACAUACAGUCAUAUUCGACUCCAAAACAAUAACCAAGCCUCUUCUUGCUUCUCAAAGCUUUGAUGGUUUAGCCGAAGUCCAUAUGAGUCUUUGUGUUUGUAUCUUCUAACAAGGAAAUACAACUUAGGCUUUUAGGAUAUGGUUGCGGUUUAAGUUCUUAUACUCAAUCAUACACAUGACAUCAUGUCAUAUUCGACUCCAAAACACUAAUCAAGCUUCUUCUUGCUUCUCAAACCUUUGAUGGUUUAGCCGAAGUCCUUAUGAGUCUUUGUGUUUGUAUCUUCUAACAACGAAACACUACUUAGGCUUUUAGGAUAAGAUUGCGGUUUAAGUUCUUAUACUCAAUCAUACACUUGACAUCAAGUCAUAUUCGACUCCAAAACUCUAACCAAGCUUCUUCUUGCUUCUCAACGCUUUGAUGGUUUAGCCGAAGUCCAUAUGUCUUUGUCUUUGUAUCUUCUAAGAAGGAAACACUACUUAGGCUUUUAGGAUAAGGUUGCGAUUUAAGUUCUUAUACUCAAUCAUACACAUGACAUCAAGUUAUAUUCGACUCCAAAACACUAACCAAGCUUCUUUUUGCUUCUAAAAGCUUUGAUGGUUUAGCCAAAGUCCAUAUGAGUCUUUGUCUUUGUAUCUUCUAACAAGGAAACAUUACUUACGCUUUUAGGAUAAUGUUGCGGUUUAAGUUCUUAUACUCAAUCAUACACAUGACAUCAAGUCAUAUUCGACUCCAAAACACUAACCAAGCUUCUUCUUGCUUCUCAAAGCUUUGAUGGUUUAGCCGAAGUCCAUAUGAGUCUUUGUCUUUGUAUCUUCUAACAAGGAAACACUACUUAGGCUUUUAGGAUAAGAUUGCAGUUUAAGUUCUUUUACUCAAUCAUACACAUGACAUCAAGUUAUAUUCGACUCCAAAACACUAACCAAGCUUCUUCUUGCUUCUCAAAGCUUUGAUGGUUUGCCAAAACUCCAUAUGACUCUUUAUCUUUGUAUCUUCUAACAAGGAAACACUACUUAGGCCUUUAGGAUAAGGUUGAGGUUUACGUUCUUAUACUCAAUCAUACACAUGACAUACAGUCAUAUUCGACUCCAAAACAAUAACCAAGCCUCUUCUUGCUUCUCAAAGCUUUGAUGGUUUAGCCGAAGUCCAUAUGAGUCUUUGUGUUUGUAUCUUCUAACAAGGAAACACAACUUAGGCUUUUAGGAUAUGGUUGCGGUUUAAGUUCUUAUACUCAAUCAUACACAUGACAUCAUGUCAUAUUCGACUCCAAAACACUAAUCAAGCUUCUUCUUGCUUCUCAAACCUUUGAUGGUUUAGCCGAAGUCCUUAUGAGUCUUUGUGUUUGUAUCUUCUAACAACGAAACACUACUUAGGCUUUUAGGAUAAGAUUGCGGUUUAAGUUCUUAUACUCAAUCAUACACUUGACAUCAAGUCAUAUUCGACUCCAAAACUCUAACCAAGCUUCUUCUUGCUUCUCAACGCUUUGAUGGUUUAGCCGAAGUCCAUAUGUCUUUGUCUUUGUAUCUUCUAAGAAGGAAACACUACUUAGGCUUUUAGGAUAAGGUUGCGAUUUAAGUUCUUAUACUCAAUCAUACACAUGACAUCAAGUUAUAUUCGACUCCAAAACACUAACCAAGCUUCUUUUUGCUUCUCAAAGCUUUGAUGGUUUAGCCAAAGUCUAUAUGAGUCUUUAGCUUUGUAUCUUCUAACAAGGAAACACUACUUAUGCCUUUAGGAUAAGGUUGCGGUUUAAGAUCUUAUACUCAAUCAUACACAUGAUAUCAAGUCAUAUUCGACUCCAAAACAAUAACCAAGCUUCUUCUUGCUUCUCAAAGCUUUGAUGGUUUAGCCGAAGUCCAUAUGAGUCUUUGUCUUUGUAUCUUCUAACAAGGAAACACUACUUAGGCUUUUAAGAUAACAUUGCGGUUUUAAGUUCUUAUACUCAAUAAUACACAUGACAUCAAGUCAUAUUCGACUCCAAAACACUAACCAAGCUUCUUCUUGCUUCUCAAAGCUUUGAUGGUUAAGCCAAAUUCCAAAUGAGUCUUUGUUUUUGUAUCUUCUAACAAGGAAACACUACUUAGGCUUUUAAGAUAAGGUUGCAGUUUAAGUUCUUAUACUCAAUCAUACACAUGACAUCAAGUUAUAUUCGACUCCAAAACACUAAUCAAGCUUCUUCUUCUUGCUUCUCAAGGCUUUGAUGGUUUAGCCAAAGUCCAUAUGAGUCUUUGUCUUUGUAUCUUCGAACAACGGAACAGUACUUAGGCUUUUAGGAUAAGAUUGUGGUUUAAGUUCUUAUACUCAAUCAUACACAUGAGAUCAAGUCAUAUUCGAGUCCAAAACACUAACCAAGCUUCUUCUUGCUUCUCAAAGCUUUGUUGGUUUAGCCAAAGUCCAGAUGAGUCUUUAUCUUUGUAUCUUCUAACAAGAAAACACUACUUACGCUUUUAGGAUAAUGUUGCGGUUUAAGUUCUUAUACUCAAUCAUACACAUGACAUCAAGUCAUAUUCGACUCCAAAACACUAACCAAGCUUCUUCUUGCUUCUCAAAGCUUUGAUGGUUUAGCCGAAGUCCAUAUGAGUCUUUGUCUUUGUAUCUUCUAACAAGGAAACACUACUUAGGCUUUUAGGAUAAGAUUGCAGUUUAAGUUCUUUUACUCAAUCAUACACAUGACAUCAAGUUAUAUUCGACUCCAAAACACUAACCAAGCUUCUUCUUGCUUCUCAAAGCUUUGAUGGUUUAGCCAAAACACCAUA